Rattus norvegicus (Norway rat) is the source of this 4473-nucleotide non-coding RNA. NCBI's taxonomy places the organism in Eukaryota, Metazoa, Chordata, Mammalia, Rodentia, Muridae. The record is from RefSeq and is a predicted model, not a curated record.
UAAAAGGUGAAACUGGGCCAAGCAUCAAAUUUCUCUCUCUGCUUCCUCAUUCUGGGUGCAAAUGCAAGGUAAGUCUGUUCCGGGAAAGGCUCGGUGGUUCUUGUGUAGGCAAGCCCAGUCUGUCACACUGGCCAAGACAGUCAUAAACGUCACUGCAAAAAGCUGCACUGGGGGUGACAGGGAGCUUUGGACUUCUUUUGUAAACUUUUUUUUUUCUUUUCUUUUUUUUCCAGAGCUGGGGACCGAACCCAGGGCCUUGUGCUUGCUAGGCAAGCACUCUACCACUGAGCUAAAUCCCCAACCCCGAGCUUUGGACUUCUAACCAACAGAUUCCACCACUUGACCUGGGAUGAAUCAAAACAUAGAUACUCAGGCAUCCUAGUAGUAAGAGAGGUCUGCCAGCCUUUGAGGUAAAAUACAGGAGACCCUCAGAUGCAGGUGGGCAGAGGAGACCCUAGUAGCUCACACGUGUCACUGAUCUGCUGAUGCGCCUUAGGGCAGGAAGCAGUGGCUGGCAGGACUGUGGACGCUCUGUCUUCCUGGCUGUUCCUCCAGCACUCUUCUCUCACAGGCAUGGGCCUGUGUCUAGCUCCAUGGCCACAUGCCUCAGCUUCUCCAGGAUGCCUUUCCAACCGUCAGAAGAAGCAACAGGAGUUCACAUGAAUUUACUCUGCCUUCAUGGGGCUCUGUUUGGUAGAGUCAGCAACCUGCAGGUAACCCCACUGAGUAUCCAUCUGUCCUUCCCAAGAGUCCACCCUGCAAAUGGAAGACCUGGAAGGCAGCUUUAUUCUCAGCUGUUCAGUGGGCUGGCUGGUUGUUUCAAGAAUCCCUUCCCUAGAGAGACAUAAAGAUCCUCUAUCCCCUCCUCCUAAGGUCCCAAUGACAAAUGGAGUGGGAGGUGCCAGCAGCAGGUGGGCGGUGCUAGCAGCAGGUGGGCGGUGCUAGCCGCCAUGUCGCUGAGCCUAAAGCAACUGCAGUGAAAAGGUUUCACCCAGUGUGAGUGAUGACUUCUCCAUAACCACAUAGAUGGAGCCCCCUCUCCUUUAGCCCUCCCUAGCCUAUAUAGUCUAGUACCUCUAGCCCCAGAAGUCGCAUGCAAUUAAGGCAGAACUGUAUAGAAAUGCUUGGGAGGAAGGGCUAGAAUCUCAGGUAAAUAUCAAAAGCCCUCCACACGCGUCUUUUCUGUGGUCCAAUAAAAUGACAGCUGUUUGCUUGAAGGACCGCAUUCUACAACACCAGCAGUGAAUGUCAGCAGCUAUUAGAUGGACAGUCCACUAGGCUUGGCCAGUGUCUCACAAGGAGGGUGGAGAGUGGGGCUGCUCAAAAGGAAGAAUCUGCUUCUAACAGUUGCUGAGACAAAGCCCCACAGGCUUGGGAACUUAAACAGAUGCUGUUCCCCAGUGGUGAAACCAAAAGUCUGAGAAGGGCCCGAGAGUCUGCUGCACGUCACCCUGGCCUCUGGGACCUGAGAGUCUCCUGCAUGUCACCCUGGCCUCUGGGGCCAGGGUGGCCAUCUGACUCUCUUGGUUACAGAAGGAUGCCUCACUUUGGUCUUAGUCUUCAUCUCACAUGAUUUCUCCCCAUGCCCUGUCUCUUCCCCAACUAUCCCCUCUGUAAAGACACCUCAUAUUGAACUAGAAACUCCUGACACCAUUUUAUCUGAUCUGUUUCCCCGUGAAUGUCCCAUCCCAGAUCUGGAGGAAGAGGUAAGAUCUCUGAGGACAAGACCCAAGCCUUCUUAGGAAAAAAGAGAGGAGAAGACAGAUGCUGAACUCCCAUCAGACGAUGUAGGGAAGGGGUGGGGACCAAGAUUCAGGCCCUAGUGCCCCAGAGAGCUCAGGCAGGGCCGCACUGAGGCACUGGGCCAUGAGGAACCCCAGUGAGUCACUGUGUGUGGGGUCAGGAGGAACAGAUGGCGAGACGGCUUUUUGUGGAAUCCAGAGCUUUGUUGGUUUUAAUUAUGGUGGACAGGGAAGGAGGGGAUGCUUGUUGCUACUUUAAGAGGCCUCUAAAAGGAAGACUCUGGCUAUGAAAGAACCUGGCCAAGGCCAGGAGUACGGAUUGCUGGAGUCUGGAGAUGAAAGGAGAGCCAGGCCAGGAGGAGGCUUGUGAGGGCAAUGGAGUGACGCCCUCUGAGCCAGUCGUCAGGGGCAGGCAGAGCAUUGAGCCUGGGAUUCAGAGUUUCCUGUUCCCUCGAAUCUAGCGUGGUACUGAGAAGCCUAGGCCCUGGGACCCCUUCAACACUGCAGCGAGCCUUGGAAGAGCCCUCGGGGAUCCAUUAAAUCAGUGUCUCAGGCACUUAGAGAGAUCUGAGCCUGGGGUAGGGUGACUUAGCGCCUCAGCGGCAGACACUAUUGCAGCCCUGAGCACCCACUGCAGUGUGGAGCGGUAAAGCAUUUCCUGAGUUUACUGUCUAUUUUGGAAAACCUAGGAAUCCAGCCUUAACAUGUCACUCCAUGAUUACGGAUGGGCUGCAUGGAAUCAUACCAAGCUGAUCCCAAUCACAGAGUGGGCGAAGAUGCUGAGACACCAUAUCACCCAGAUCAUAAGGGCCAUACAGCUGUCUCCACAUUCAUUCUCCAAAUUCCCAUUGAGCAAUUUUUCCAUAGGUUUGGUCAUUGAAAAAAAAAAGUCAGAAACUAGCCCCACUGUCUUUGAUGAGUAUACAUCUUAUACAGGUGGGUAAGAACAUCAAACAUUCCAGAGAUUUGAAUGUUUGACUUCUCCGGUGUUGAGAGGAGCUCUAUCCCCAAAGAGAGCAGAGCAGAGGCUGGAAAGUGCUGUGCAUGAGCGGAGGGGCUCGGGGAUGUAGGAAAGAGGGGAGCUCGGUAUAUAAUUCACACUGAGGUGAGAUAGUGGGACACAUGAGUGGAUUUCUGAGGAAAGAGACCACCUAGCAGUUUGGCUAAGAAGCAGAUAAAGGCCUGGACUGGGAAGGUUAAUUUAGAGUUUCAAGUGAGCAACGCAGGAGAGGAGUAGGCAAAAGAAAGUUCUGUCCAGAUGAUGGUGACACCGCCCUCUGAGCUUUCCAUUUUGGAACCUUUGGUGACAACAAUCUUGUUAACCUCAACAUAUCUCAUACGAGCUUCCCUGAUCCCACCCAACUCCCGACAGUCUGAGAUUGGAAAUGUGGAGACCAAGAUCAAACCCUCCAUUCUGAGGUCUGGGCACUAUGUCAGCACUGGGCUGUUGAGGGGACAUCUACAUACACCCUGUUGUGUCAGAGAGAGGGAGAGAGGGAGGGAGAGAAAGACAGAGACAGAGAACCGGCUGAGUCAAAAGUAGAAACAUUUCUACUUGAAAACUUAAAGCUCACAUUCUAAGAUCAAAAUCAAAGCAGAAAAUAAUGAUCACAUUCACUCCAAGAAUUCCCCAGUGGCAGUAUCACCCACAUCACUCCCACAUCCACCAAUAGAAAUGCAGCUCACAGCAGUGGUCAACUAGCCUUCAUCAAGAUCACCCAGCGUUCUCCUGGGAAUGAUCAAUCUUAAUUGUCAACUUGACUUUACCUGAUCAUCAGAAGAGAGAAUCUCAGUGAGGGACUGUCUAUGUUGAGUUGACCUGGGUAAUGUCUGUGGGAGGUUGUCUUAAUUAAUUGAUGUUGGAAGAACCAGUCCACAGUGGGUAGCACUAUUCCCUAUUCAGGGGGUACUGAGCUUUGUAAGCAAAUCUAACUUAGCACAGGCAAGCCAGCAUGUGUAUAUUUAUUUAUUUCUUCUUGACUGGAUGUGCCAUGACUAUUUGAAGUUCUCUCCUUGACUUCUCCAUCAUGAUGGACUGUAACCCGGAACUGUAAAUUUAAAUAAACCCCCUUCUCCCCUAUUGAGUAUUUUGUUACAGGAACAGAUAUGAAACUACAACAAUCCCCUUCUCCCUGUUGUCUGCACCUGCUCUGAGUGUUUGAUCUCAGAUCCCAGACUCAAUCAGCAGUGCGUGUGGCUGGGUCUCCAAAGGCGCUCGUGCCACUCAGAGGGAAAGCCAAGGUGCUGUCCCUGCCCUACCAAGACGUUCUCCAUCAUUCGCCACCCCUGCUUUGUCAUCUCCGGUAGUGAGUGAUCCGCCUCCCGUCGCUCCACUUUCCACCCUGCUCCGCCUCCAUGGGGCUUCAACUCCCAUGAUGCUCUACCUCCCAUCAUGCUCCACUCCUCCUUAUAAACUGAAACAUUCUACAGCGAGGGAAGGAAAGGCUCGGGAGCUGUACAAAGGGGUACACGUCUAGGAAGUGGAAACUCGAAGAUUCUCAGAGACCUCUCCCCUGAGAAGGAGACUUAGCAGCAGAGCUUCAGAGAUUCACUGGACCUCUCAGCUGACUGCGGAUUGUGCAGAGAGCUCAGGGUCACAGUUUUCAUGCGCUACCACCCGUGGUGGGCGCGCUUUACAGUGAUGGUGCUUUUUGGCACCCCCCCCUCCUCCUGUAACCCCUGACCGAUACCCCCGUUAGUAACCCCAAUUAAAAGUCAUCGACGCACCAAA